CCCAGUUAUGCUAGCUAGCUCUCGCCCCCCACCCACCUUCAACCUCGCCCACUCCGCCUCCUGGAGAAGAAACUCCUGAAACCACCAUGGAAGAUCAACAUCAUGUGAAUUCUCUGGCGGGGGAAAGGCCACAAUCCUUUUUUGAUGCUAGCCAUUCUACAUCAUCCGCAAGGGAGGAUAAUCUUGAUAUCUCUCGUGGAGAGGUGUCAAUGGCUAGUCUUCCCAGGUUGAUGGUGUAAAUGGGGUCCCAAAGAGUGGAUCAUCCUCUCCUGAUGGGAAUGAUGCUGAUGCUCUGGGAAGUCUCGCAACUCCUACAAAGCUUCAUGAAUGUGAUCAUGUGGAAUUGUAGAGCAUGCAGUCGGUCAACAAUGGUUGCUGUUCACACUUCCGUCUGAAGGGUUGUCUGGAGGUAUCAUUGUCUUAUGGAAGAAAGGUAUCGACCAUUUUGAUUUUUCCAGCAACAACAAUCAGGUGGCUAUUGGAAUCAUCAAUGUUAUUGGCAUUCAGCCAUAGGUGAUCGUUGUGAUCUAUGCGUGCACCUGCUAUAGAAGGAGAAGAGAAGUUUGGGAUCUGAUCAUGGCUUGUAUUUCCAUGAGAUACUCUAUGCUGGCUAUUGGGGAUUUUAGUGUGAUUUCUUCCUCUAAUGAAAAAUUGGGUGGCAAGCACCUUACUGUAACAACUAAGAUCAAUGAAUUUCGAGAGUUUAUUCUGUCAAACUCUCUCGUGGAUUUGGGUUACUCUGGAUCCCCUUUCGCAUGGUGCGACAACAGAUAUGGUAGUGCUAGAAUUUCGGAGCGGUUGGAUAGAGGUUUGGCUACUGCUGACUGGGUUAGAGCCUUUUCUGAGUCUAACAUCACUCAUCUUCCACAAAUAGGAUUUGAUCAUCGCCCCCUUAUACUCAAGGUGCUCGCUAACCGGGAUUGCUAGAACCGUGUGCCCUUCAGAUUUCAUAAGUUUUGGCGAUCAGUUAAUGGGGUCAGGGAGGUUGUCCGACGAGCUUGGCGUGCUCCUCAAUGUGAGUCUGCUGGCAUUCGUAUUCUCCAGUUACUUCGAAAUACUCAUCAGGUUUUGCAAAAAUGGAACAAAGAAUAUAUUGGCAACUUAUUUGACACAGCUAAACAGCUGAAGGAUCAAAUACAAUGGCUACAGAAUGAAGACGGCUGGAGAAUGUACGUAUCCAGAGUAUCCUUUCGAGGAAAAUCGCUGAGCAUAGCCGGGUACUCAAACUCUAAAAAUUUAUUGGCGUCAAAAAUCUCGCAUCAGGUGGCUCAAUGAGGGUGAUCUCAAUACUGCCUUGUUCCAUCAGUCUACCGUUAUGCGUCGGAGGAAGAAUAGAAUCAAUUCUAUCAAUAAAUUAGAUGGAUAACCUACUACUGAUACCAAAGAAAUUACUAACACCAUAUACAAUUACUUCAAUAGCCACUGGAACAGUCAUCAGCAAUGUCCUCAUAUCGAGCUUCCCUCAAUCCAAACUAGAGUCAGCUUAAUUCAAAAUUAGGUCCUGCUGAGUCCGAUGAUGGAUGAUGAAAUCAUUGACGCCAUCUGGCAAAUGGAAUCCAAUCGGGCUCCUGGUCCUUCGGGGUUCUAACCAUUGUUCUUCAAAUACUUUUGGUCUAACAUCUGGAAUGAGGUUCUUGCAGCAAUUCAGGAGGUUUUCAGAUUGAGAAAAAUGCCUAGACAAUGAAAAAAUACUUAUAUCAUUCUUAUUCCUAAGAAAGAAAAUUCAAAGGAUGUUAAGGACUUCAGACCCAUCAACCUGUGUAAUUUUCUGUAUAAACUGGUGGCGAAGCUGCUGGUUAAUUGACUGAAGCCCCUUAUCCUUGCCCUUGUCUCUGUAGAACAGGGUGCUUUCGUGCCGGGCAGGAAUAUCUCGAAAAAUAUCAUGGUAGCUCAGGAGAUCUUCUAUUCCAUGAGUAAAGCGUUGCCCCACAACUCUCUCAUGAUUAUUAAGGCGGACAUGGAGAAGGCUUACGACAGGAUGUCUUGGCAAUUCAUUGAAGCGGUCUUGGCUCACUACGGUUUUCAUUCCACAUUUAUUCAACGGAUUAUGAGCUGUGUUACCCACUCUGGUUUCUCUAUUAUUAUCAAUGGAACUCCAACAGAUUGGUUCACAUCCUCAGAAUCUUGCCGAGUCUGGAGGCCUUCGUGUUUAUGAACCUAAAAAUGGUGGCCUCUCCAUCUCUCAUCUCAUGUUUGCUGAUGAUUUACUCCUGGUGGCUCGGGCGACUACUCGGAAUGCUCGAAUUCUCAAACAAACCUUAAUGAAAUACUGCAUUCAGUCUGGUUAGCAAUUCAAUAUUCAGAAAUCCCACAUUGGCUUCAGUGAAAAAAACAACAUCCGAACCAAGCAAUGAAUUAUGAUCAUCCUCUCCAUUCCUCCGUGUGAUGGUGAUUGGUAUUAUCUUGGAGUGCCCUUAUCUCCAUUCCUCCGUUCAACCCAUUGUUUGACCAUAUUCAUAAAAGGCUUGAUGCAUGGAAAUGGAAGCAUCUCUCACAAGCAGGCCACAUCACCCUUAUUCAUUCUGUUUUGAAUUCCACUUACAUUUACCUCCUUACAAGCACUCAAGUUCCAACGUCAGUUCUUUAUGAGAUUGAGAAGAUCGUUAAAAUCAUUUCUAUGGGGCCAUGAGCUGGGGACCAAAAAGCUGCAUUUGAUCUCUUGGAAUACCAUUUUUCCUCCCAAAAAUAAGGGUGGCCUGGGCAUUCAUUCACUUCGAAUUCGGCAACAGGCUUUAAUGAGUAAAGCUGCUGGGAGUUUGGUGGUCAACAAGAACUUUUUGCGGAGAAGAUUGGUCAUUGCAAAAUACCAUUUUGAAAAUUGGGACAGUGCUGGGACCAGGAGCAUCACCUCUGUGGCGGGCCAUUUGUGCAUCUGUCAAGUGGGUGCACUUUGAUUUUAAAUGGCACAUUGGAGACGGCACUAAUACAAACAUGCUGUCUGAUCCCUGGAUUGAUGAAAUACCACUGAAUAGGAGUGUUGUUCCAAUGAAUAGUGCUGCUUAUGAUGACUGGAAGGUGAAUCAACUCAUCACUAAUACUGGUACGUGGAAUGUGGAGGUUCUUAUAUUCCUUUUUCCUGAUGACAUGGUAUAAAAAAUCUUGUCCAUUCCUCUCCUCAAAAAUCGAUGCAUUAACAACUUGGUGUGGAAGCAUCAUUGUGGUUCCUCGAUUCGGGCCAAAGAGAUCUACAAUUAGAUUCUACUUUGCCGUUACAAUGACGGUCAGUUCCAGCUGGGUUGGGUCAUGAAGCUCCCCAUUGCCCCUCGGGUGAAAGUGUUUUGCUGGAAGCUCUGUGGGGGCUGUCUUCCUUGCAAAACAUUACUUACAGUAAGAAACAUACUUCAUCAAGACUAUAUCUAUGAGCUCUGUAUGAUGGCUGAUGAGAACCUGAAACACUGCCCGUACUCGUGCCCACGGAUUCAUCCAAUUUGGACGACCUUAAAUCGAUCACACCUUGCUCUGCAUCAUGUUACGUCAUUGACGAAUCUUAUUGAUCUGUUAGCUUCUGACAUGAUUUUCAAUCAGCAGAAAUUCAUAACCUGUUACACGCUGUGGUGCAUUUGGAACUCAAGGAAUAGCCAUCUAUUUCAAGAUUUGCAGCAUUCUCACUCUACCAUUUUGUCUUCAGCCCUCAGACAUGCUUCAAAAUAUGCGUUUGCAGCGAAUAGUGCUUUCUUGUCCAAUGAUUCAAAGCUCUGGGUCACGGUUCUGUCUGUUCUUGGAUACAUCGUCUGGGGUCAUUAUGGGAUAGUUCUAUAUGCAGCAUCCGGUACUUCCUCUGCUUCAUCUGUGCCCGAGGCU
Elaeis guineensis (African oil palm) is the source of this 3801-nucleotide non-coding RNA. Lineage: Eukaryota; Viridiplantae; Streptophyta; Magnoliopsida; Arecales; Arecaceae. The record is from RefSeq and is a predicted model, not a curated record.